RNAcentral lists this long non-coding RNA (499 nucleotides) under Portunus trituberculatus (swimming crab). RNAcentral describes it as "uncharacterized LOC123500308, transcript variant X1". The record is from RNAcentral. Lineage: Eukaryota; Metazoa; Arthropoda; Malacostraca; Decapoda; Portunidae.
AAGACAUAUAAGAAACACCCGGCAUUGUUAGCUUGAAGUGUUGACAUUGACAGGUUUUGAACAUUUGUGGAGCAGUAAGAAGGAGCAGAGGCCAACUGUGGGACCAUUGCGCAGCGAAGAUGGAGGUGCACCAUGGCUUGCCGCAAUGUCACAACUGGUCCUUGGAGAGGCGCUGGUGGUGACGGCCUGCCUGUGCCCUCUCUGCAGCAAAAUUCCACAAAUACUCCACUCACCAAGUUCCAGAGGGAGAGGAUCACCAGCCACCACCGGCCGUACUAAAGGAAGUGGUUCUAUGUUGGGAUGGAACAUGGCAACUGCACCAGCUGGAACACACCUAGCCAACUGAUCACCAGCCACCACCGGCCGUACUAAAGGAAGUGGUUCUAUGUUGGGAUGGAACAUGGCAACUGCACCAGCUAGGACACACCUAGCCAACUAUUGUGUUAAGAAUAUGGAGAAAGACGGACCAAGGAAAGAAGAGGAGGAGGAGGUAGAAGAG